Molecule: unclassified non-coding RNA, 264 nt
Filed under: uncultured fungus
Lineage: Eukaryota; Fungi
Description: partial contains 5.8S ribosomal RNA, internal transcribed spacer 2, and large subunit ribosomal RNA
Rfam family: 5.8S ribosomal RNA (bases 1-52)
Source: RNAcentral
AACGCACAUUGCGCCCGGCAGUAUUCUGCCGGGCAUGCCUGUCCGAGCGUCAUUUCAACCCUCGAGCCCCCCCGGGGGGCUCGGUGUUGGGGAUCGGCCCGCCUCCACCGGAGGGCCGGCCCCGAAAUCCAGUGGCGGUCUCGCCGCAGCCUCCCCUGCGUAGUAGCAACACCUCGCACCGGAGCGCGGCGCGGCCCCGCCGUUAAACCCCCCAACUUCCAAAAGGUUGACCUCGGAUCAGGUAGGAAUACCCGCUGAACUUAA